UGGGCCGCUGUGUUACCCAUCAGUA
Molecule: non-coding RNA, 25 nt
Filed under: Mus musculus (house mouse)
Lineage: Eukaryota; Metazoa; Chordata; Mammalia; Rodentia; Muridae
Source: RNAcentral